RNAcentral lists this unclassified non-coding RNA (208 nucleotides) under Hevea brasiliensis (rubber tree). Lineage: Eukaryota; Viridiplantae; Streptophyta; Magnoliopsida; Malpighiales; Euphorbiaceae. The record is from RNAcentral.
AGGUCUUGGAAAGGAUGAGCAGGGUAUGUUUGGAACCUUGAUGUUCACUGCAAAAUUGAUUUUGAUAUGUGACUUCUCUGCUGGUAGCAUUGUCUUGGAACUCUUUUAUAUGCUUUUAUAUUCAAUCUUCUAUUUUGUGAUGGGGGGCAUGUUUCUUCAAUCCAACAAACCACACUCUCAGGGAGUGUGGUGUUCUGUCCAGCAGUGU